CAUAUUUGUAAUAAAUAAUUAAAUAAUGUGUUUUUGUACAAUUUUUGGUAACAAUAUUGUUUAUUAUAUACGCAUAUUUUAUAUGCACGUUAUAUAGAAUAAGUUUUAGCUGUAUGUUUUUUAAUGGAAUAUAGUUUUAAAAAAAAAAAAAAAAAGAAGCGCAUGAUACCAUGACAUUUAAAAAAAAAAUUUUUAUUAAGUAUAUAUAUAUAUAUAUAUUUAAUAAUUUAUUAAAAAGCAUUUUGAUUACGUGCAAAAAAAAAAAAAAAAUAAAAAAAUAAAUAAAUAUGGCAGAAAAAUAUCCUUACGAAAAUUCACAUCAUUUACAAAACGCAACGCUAUUAGCUGAUAAUGCAAUAAACACAGUCGAAACUAAUUUAACUGUUUUGAGUUCUACCAUUAGUAAUGUAAAUGAACUAAGAAAUGAUCAAAUUGAAAAUAUAAACUCCAUUUCCACUACAACACUUAAAAAUAAUGAUAAGAUAUUACUAGUUGUAAUAUUUUGCGUUAUAUUAUUGUUUAGUAUUAUAUUUUUAUGUACAUUUUAUAAACACCGAAGAAAACUGAAAAAAUUAUUUCGUAAUUGGAAAAAUGAUGUGGAAUUUGCUGUAAAGGGUUGUAUACAGACACUUGAUUCAGAAAAUAAUUUGGCAGAUGAUACUGGUGUGGCCACACGACAACUAACAUCGACAACAAGCAUUUCAAGUAUAAGAUUUGAAGGAGAUGAUGAAAACAUGAACAAUGAAAAUAAUGAUGCUUCAAAUAUAAGAGAUACCGUGUGUGUAAAUAGUGGUAUUUUUGAUGUUGAAGAAUGUAAUACUAUAACUACUAAUAUGUCAAGUACUGUAUGUUCACCUUGUAAGUUAAGUACCGUAACACAUUAUGCUAAUGAUGAUUGUAAAAUCGAGUUUGCCACAUUACUUGGUGCUUCUAAAUCUGAUCUAAAUAAUGAUGUUGUUAAUCUUAAUGAUGAUGAAGAUGAUGGUGAUGAUAGUGAUGAUAGUAGUGAUCAUGAUGCUGGUGGUGAUAGUGGUGGUGAUAGUGGUGGUGAUAGUGGUGGUGAUAGUGGUGAUGGUGGUGAUGGUGGUGAUGGUGGUGAUGAUGAUGAAGAUGAAGAUGAUAGUGAUGAUAGUAGUGAUGAUGAUAGUAGUGAUGAUGAUAGUAUUGAUCAUGAUGGUGGUGGUGAUGGUGGUGAUGNNNNNNNNNNUGGUGUUAAUGGUGUUAAUGGUGUUAAUGGUGUUAAUGGUGUUAAUGAUGGUGAUGAUGUUGCCGUUGAGGAUGGUACGGUUGGUGGUGCGGUUGGUGGUGCAGUUGGUGGUGCGGUUGGUGGUGCAGUUGGUGGUGCUAUUGCUGCUGACGCUAGUGCUAUUACUGCUAAUGCUCUUGCUGCUGCUGCGGCUAAUGCUCUCACUGCUUCUGCUAAUGCUAAUGCUGCUGCCAGUGCGGCUGCUGCUGCUGCUGAUGAAGCUACUGAUGUUGCUGAUGCUGCUGAUGCUGUAUUUC
This 1503-nucleotide long non-coding RNA is filed under the name Piliocolobus tephrosceles (Ugandan red Colobus). Its description in RNAcentral is "lncRNA (ENSPTEG00000011622.1)". Lineage: Eukaryota; Metazoa; Chordata; Mammalia; Primates; Cercopithecidae. The record is from RNAcentral.